CCUACGGGUGGCAGCAGUCGAGAAUUUUUCACAAUGGGCGCAAGCCUGAUGGAGCGACGCCGCGUGGGGGAUGAAGGGCUUCGGCUCGUAAACCCCUGUCAGUUGCGAACAAAGUGCACUCAAUAACACUGGGUGUGCUGAUAGUAGUGACAGAGGAAGGGACGGCUAACUCUGUGCCAGCAGCCGCGGUAAUACAGAGGUCCCGAGCGUUGUUCGGAUUCACUGGGCGUAAAGGGUGCGUAGGCGGCUUUGCAAGUCUGAUGUGAAAUCUCCGGGCCCAACCCGGAAAUGGCAUUAGAAACUGCAGGGCUAGAGGCUUGGAGGGGGAACUGGAAUGCUCGGUGUAGCAGUGAAAUGCGUAGAGAUCGAGCGGAACACCAGUGGCGAAGGCGAGUUCCUGGACAAGACCUGACGCUGAGGCACGAAAGCCGGGGGAGCAA
RNAcentral lists this ribosomal RNA (440 nucleotides) under uncultured bacterium. RNAcentral's name for it is "bacterial SSU rRNA". It matches the Rfam family "Bacterial small subunit ribosomal RNA", at positions 338 to 771 of the family's 1533-position model. The record is from RNAcentral.